AGUUGCGUACGGGUGAGUAAUACUAUGAGUAACCUGCCUUUGACUCUGGGAUAAGCCUGGGAAACUGGGUCUAAUACCGGAUAUGACAAGGAACCGCAUGGUUUUUUGUGGAAAGGGUUUGUACUGGUUUUAGAUGGGCUCACGGCCUAUCAGCUUGUUGGUGGGGUAAUGGCUCACCAAGGCGACGACGGGUAGCCGGCCUGAGAGGGUGACCGGCCACACUGGGACUGAGACACGGCCCAGACUCCUACGGGAGGCAGCAGUGGGGAAUAUUGCACAAUGGGCGCAAGCCUGAUGCAGCGACGCCGCGUGAGGGAUGACGGCCUUCGGGUUGUAAACCUCUUUCAGCAGGGAAGAAGCGAAAGUGACGGUACCUGCAGAAGAAGCGCCGGCUAACUACGUGCCAGCAGCCGCGGUAAUACGUAGGGCGCGAGCGUUGUCCGGAAUUAUUGGGCGUAAAGAGCUUGUAGGCGGUUUGUUGCGUCUGCUGUGAAAGACCGGGGCUUAACCCCGGUAUUGCAGUGGGUACGGGCAGACUAGAGUGCAGUAGGGGAGACUGGAAUUCCUGGUGUAGCGGUGAAAUGCGCAGAUAUCAGGAGGAACACCGAUGGCGAAGGCAGGUCUCUGGGCUGUAACUGACGCUGAGAAGCGAAAGCAUGGGGAGCGAACAGGAUUAGAUACCCUGGUAGUCCAUGCCGUAAACGUUGGGCACUAGGUGU
Molecule: ribosomal RNA, 719 nt
Filed under: Rothia amarae
Lineage: Bacteria; Bacillati; Actinomycetota; Actinomycetes; Micrococcales; Micrococcaceae
Description: bacterial SSU rRNA
Rfam family: Bacterial small subunit ribosomal RNA
Source: RNAcentral